CGUGUAGGCGGCCUCUUAAGUCUGAUGUGAAAGCCCGGGGCUUACCCCCGGAAGUGCAUUGGAGACUGGGAGGCUCGAGUACCGGAGAGGAGGGUGGGAUUCCUGGUGUAGCGGUGAAAUGCGUAGAUAUCAGGAGGAACACCGGUGGCGAAGGCGGCCCUCUGGACGGAUACUGACGCUGAGACGCGAAAGCGUGGGGAGCAAACAGGAUUAGAUACCCUGGUAGUCCACGCUGUAAACGAUGGGCACUAGGUGUUCGGGGUAUUGACCCCCUGAGUGCCGCAGCUAACGCAUUAAGUGCCCCGCCUGGGGACUACGGCCGCAAGGUUAAA
This 332-nucleotide ribosomal RNA is filed under the name uncultured bacterium. RNAcentral describes it as "bacterial SSU rRNA". It matches the Rfam family "Bacterial small subunit ribosomal RNA", at positions 568 to 898 of the family's 1533-position model. The record is from RNAcentral.